CUGGCUCAGAUUGAACGCUGGCGGCAGGCCUAACACAUGCAAGUCGAAUGGUAACAGGAAACAGCUUGCUGUUUCGCUGACGAGUGGCGGACGGGUGAGUAAUGUCUGGGAAACUGCCUGAUGGAGGGGGAUAACUACUGGAAACGGUAGCUAAUACCGCAUAACGUCGCAAGACCAAAGAGGGGGACCUUCGGGCCUCUUGCCAUCAGAUGUGCCCAGAUGGGAUUAGCUAGUAGGUGGGGUAACGGCUCACCUAGGCGACGAUCCCUAGCUGGUCUGAGAGGAUGACCAGCCACACUGGAACUGAGACACGGUCCAGACUCCUACGGGAGGCAGCAGUGGGGAAUAUUGCACAAUGGGCGCAAGCCUGUAUGCAGCCAUGCCGCGUGUAUGAAGAAGGCCUUCGGGUUGUAAAGUACUUUCAGCGGGGAAGAAGGGAGUAAAGUUAAUACCUUUGCUCAUUGACGUUACCCGCAGAAGAAGCACCGGCUAACUCCGUGCCAGCAGCCGCGGUAAUACGGAGGGUGCAAGCGUUAAUCGGAAUUACUGGGCGUAAAGCGCACGCAGGCGGUUUGUUAAGUCAGAUGUGAAAUCCCCGGGCUCAACCUGGGAACUGCAUCUGAUACUGGCAAGCUUGAGUCUCGUAGAGGGGGGUAGAAUUCCAGGUGUAGCGGUGAAAUGCGUAGAGAUCUGGAGGAAUACCGGUGGCGAAGGCGGCCCCCUGGACGAAGAG
RNAcentral lists this ribosomal RNA (733 nucleotides) under uncultured Escherichia sp. RNAcentral's name for it is "bacterial SSU rRNA". It matches the Rfam family "Bacterial small subunit ribosomal RNA", at positions 19 to 740 of the family's 1533-position model. Lineage: Bacteria; Pseudomonadati; Pseudomonadota; Gammaproteobacteria; Enterobacterales; Enterobacteriaceae. The record is from RNAcentral.